Molecule: long non-coding RNA, 2442 nt
Filed under: Marmota monax (woodchuck)
Lineage: Eukaryota; Metazoa; Chordata; Mammalia; Rodentia; Sciuridae
Source: RNAcentral
UAUAUACUGUAUUCAGGAAUGUGUCUUCUGAGGAAACUGUUGAUUUGGGGGAAUAAUAAUAAUAAAGUUCAAACAUAGACCUAUAUACCCCAUCCCACCCACAGACUAUUUUAAAACGGAGGAUUUUAAAAACAAAUUGAUAUAUAACCAUAUAUAUAUGGUUCUCUUUCCCUUUACUUCUGAUUCUAAGCUUCCUACCUUUCUGUAUGAAAGGGCUGAUGCAAUCUGUGAACAGCUGUCAUGAAACCUUGAAAGAGAAAUAUUGCUCUGGAAAUUUUAUAUCUUCAAUUGGGCAAGUAACUAGGAGAAAAAAUACAGGAGUCCAUGGUCAGCAUCAGAAAGCAGCAGACAUUGGGAUGAAGUUGGGCUUCAGAAGUCUGUUAACCCUAAGGAAGAAGAUGAAUAUUUACACAUUUUAAGAAUCUAGGUCUCCCCAAAUAAGUAUAAAGUCAAAAUAGCUGAAUGGUUUCCUUUUUGUCUUUGCGGCUAAAAAGAAAUAGAGAUAGGACAAUAUGGAGUUCUUCCUUCAUGUGCCUUGGCAGGGAAUUGACAUUCAAUAUUUACUUUGUACAACCUGUUAUCUUUCAUUUAGGAUUCUCACAACAUACCUGAGCUCCAAUAAGUUAUCAAUGAAAACUUAACAAUCCAUUGUGGAGAUCCAGUAAAAAAUGAGACAGGAAGAUUAUAAUAGGCAAAUCAGAAUACACACCCAAGACAUCUAGUUAUUGUUGACUAAUAUAGAAGGAACUUGAACUUGAAAUUCAAGUAAAUAAACAAAUUAGGAGAACUUAAGGUACUAAAAAACAAAACAAAACCCUCAUUUGAACAACUUAGUGGACAUUGGAAGGAAAACAUGAUUACUGUUGAAAUAUGGUGGACAUGGUGGCACAUGCCAGUAAUUGAUUGCAAAUUCACAGUCAAUGUCGGCAAUUAGUGAGACCCUGUAUCAAACUAAAAAAUGAAAAAAAGGACUGGGGAUGUAGCUCAGUGGUAGAGAGUCCCUGUACUGGAAAAAAAAAAUAAAAGAAAAGAUGAAGAAAUUUGAAUUAAUAUAUACUAAAAGACAAAUGCAAGAAAUAUAUCAAAGCACAACAUAAACUAAAACAAUAUCUUGAAUAAAAAAGGUGAGAUUUUGCAAAUAUAGAAAUCAAAACAUGAAUAGUAGUAUAAUUACAGAGGAAGAACUUAGAAUAAGGAGAAAUAUAAUUAAAAAUGUUAAAAGUAAAUUUAUCUGAGAUUAAGAAAAAUCAGUUUAUGAAUUUAAAGGGUUUACUAAUUUAAGGUCUUGAUCAAAAGAAAAAAACAGGCAUUUCCUGAUAAAGUUCUGAAUUCUACAUGUCAAUUGAAACAUAACUCUCAAGUAAAACAAAUUCCUAUAAAGAAUAGUAUACCAAAGUCUCAUAGGACUACAUAUCCACAAUACUGGAAAUUAGAAGAUAAACUACUGCAGAUUUCAAAAAGGAAAUAAGUAUAAUCCAAAAAUCUCAGUCAUCAAUUGGACCUAAGAUGAAAUACAUUUAGACAUACGCAGGAGCUGAGAGUAUAUAAUAAUUACACACCAUCUGAGAAAAUGCCUGAGAAUAGAUUAUAAGCAAGCAACAAAUGAACCUCAACAAAGUCUUCAGGAUGAAGACAAUGAAGAAAAUAGUGAAUAAUAAUGAACAUUUACAUAUAAUUCUGCAUGUGUGAAUAUAGGUAAAAUUUCAUCUUAAAGAGGUAUCAAGCAAUAUUUAAAAUAAGCAAUUUCAGGGCCUUGAAAUAAAAGAAUCCUAUUUCUGUAAGAAAAAAAUUAAGUGUAGUACACGUCCCAUUGAAACAGAAGGGGCUGGGUAGCUGAAGUGUCAGAGGAGGAAAAUGAUAAGGAUGGGAAGCAAGGAAGAAAAAAAGAAAGGGAUGUAUUCUAAAGAUAUCACAGGAGAAAAUGAAGGUGUGGAAUCUUGGUGGGAGAAAACUGUCACAUAAUGAACAGACACAUAUAUCUGUUUAUAGAGUUAGAAAAGAGAAGAUAAUAGAAAAUCACUUAGAACUUCCAUAUUAAGAAAACAAUAGAAUGCAUAAGCACUUUUUCAAACAAAGAGGAAUGAGAAAACAAUAACAAAAAUAAAGUAAUUGUCUGAAGAUAUAAAAUUGAGUAUUAUAAACUAUUACAUUUAAUAAACAUGGACUAAGUUCUCCCAUUAAAAGAUGAUGUCAGAUUACAUUAAAAACGUAAGUCAGACAUAUUACAAGAAAAAGUUAUAAAGAAAAGAUGAUAAAAUGAUGGGUAUAAAGAUACAAAGACAAUGCAAACAAAAACAGGAAAAUAUGAGUGGUAACAUUGACAUCAAACAAGAUAGGAUUUAAGGUUAAAAGUUUUGAAAAGAGACAAAAAGUGGUACUAUAAUAAUAAAUGGUGUAUUUAUGAGAAAUAUCAGACCAUAGAAUACAAUGUAGUCUUUAAAA